UCCGGUUUGUCACCGGCAGUCUCGCGUGAGUCCCCAACUUAAUGCUGGCAACACGCGACAAGGGUUGCGCUCGUUGCGGGACUUAACCCAACAUCUCACGACACGAGCUGACGACAGCUAUGCAGCACCUGUGUGCAGGCUCCCUUUCGGGCACCCCCCCAUCUCUGGGGGGUUCCUGCCAUGUCAAGGGUAGGUAAGGUUUUUCGCGUUGCAUCGAAUUAAUCCACAUCAUCCACCGCUUGUGCGGGCCCCCGUCAAUUCCUUUGAGUUUUAAUCUUGCGACCGUACUCCCCAGGCGGCGGACUUCACGCGUUAGCUGCGUCACUAAGGGAUUGCUCCCCCAACGACUAGUCCGCAUCGUUUAGGGCGUGGACUAC
RNAcentral lists this unclassified non-coding RNA (377 nucleotides) under uncultured Gammaproteobacteria bacterium. Its description in RNAcentral is "contains 16S-23S intergenic spacer region". Lineage: Bacteria; Pseudomonadati; Pseudomonadota; Gammaproteobacteria. The record is from RNAcentral.